GACGAACGCUGGCGGCGUGCUUAACACAUGCAAGUCGAACGGAAAGGCCCUGCUUUUGUGGGGUGCUCGAGUGGCGAACGGGUGAGUAACACGCGAGUAACCUGCCCUUGACUUUGGGAUAACUUCAGGAAACUGGGGCUAAUACCGGAUAGGAGCUCCUGCUGCAUGGUGGGGGUUGGAAAGUUUCGGCGGUUGGGGAUGGACUCGCGGCUUAUCAGCUUGUUGGUGGGGUAGUGGCUUACCAAGGCUUUGACGGGUAGCCGGCCUGAGAGGGUGACCGGCCACAUUGGGCCUGAGAUACGGCCCAGACUCCUACGGGAGGCAGCAGUGGGGAAUAUUGCACAAUGGGCGGAAGCCUGAUGCAGCAACGCCGCGUGCGGGAUGACGGCCUUCGGGUUGUAAACCGCUUUCGCCUGUGACGAAGCGUGAGUGACGGUAAUGGGUAAAGAAGCACCGGCUAACUACGUG
RNAcentral lists this ribosomal RNA (468 nucleotides) under uncultured bacterium. RNAcentral describes it as "partial 16S ribosomal RNA". It matches the Rfam family "Bacterial small subunit ribosomal RNA", at positions 28 to 507 of the family's 1533-position model. The record is from RNAcentral.